This 460-nucleotide ribosomal RNA is filed under the name uncultured bacterium. Its description in RNAcentral is "partial 16S ribosomal RNA". It matches the Rfam family "Bacterial small subunit ribosomal RNA", at positions 338 to 795 of the family's 1533-position model. The record is from RNAcentral.
CCUACGGGAGGCAGCAGUGAGGAAUAUUGGUCAAUGGACGAGAGGCUGAACCAGCCAAGUAGCGUGAAGGAUGACUGCCCUAUGGGUUGUAAACUUCUUUUAUGUGGGAAUAAAAUGUUCCACGUGUGGGAGUUUGUAGGUAACGUAUGAAUAAGGAUCGGCUAACUCCGUGCCAGCAGCCGCGGUAAUACGGAGGAUCCGAGCGUUAUCCGGAUUUAUUGGGUUUAAAGGGAGCGUAGGUGGGUUUUUAAGUCAGUGGUGAAAGUUUGCGGCUCAACCGUGAAAUUGCAGUUGAAACUGGCAGUCUUGAGUGCGGGAAAGGUAGGCGGAAUUCGUGGUGUAGCGGUGAAAUGCUUAGAUAUCACGAAGAACUCCGAUUGCGAAGGCAGCUCGCUGGACUGCAACUGACGCUGAGGCUCGAAAGUGUGGGUAUCGAACAGGAUUAGAUACCCGAGUAGUC